This is a non-coding RNA of Ictidomys tridecemlineatus (thirteen-lined ground squirrel), 47 nucleotides long. The record is from Rfam. NCBI's taxonomy places the organism in Eukaryota, Metazoa, Chordata, Mammalia, Rodentia, Sciuridae.
GACUAGGAGUUUUUCAACUCCAUUAAUCAUUUCAAACAAGAAUCUUU